AGCAGCCGCGGUAAUUCCAGCUCCAAUAGCGUAUAUUAAAGUUGUUGCAGUUAAAAAGCUCGUAGUUGAAUUUCGGGAUCAAUACGUUGGUCGUGCUUUCGGGUACGUACUGGCGUCAUUGGUUUCUCUCUUCUGACGAACCAUGAUGUCAUUAAUUUGGUGUUAUGGGGAGUUAGGACUGUUACUUUGAAAAAAUUAGAGUGUUUAUAGCAGGCUCACGCUUGAAUACAUUAGCAUGGAAUAAUGAAAUAGGACGUUUGACCCUAUUUUGUUGGUUUCUAGGAUCGACGUAAUGAUUAAUAGGGAUAGUUGGGGGCAUUAGUAUUCAAUUGUCAGAGGUGAAAUUCUUGGAUUUAUUGAAGACUAACUACUGCGAAAGCAUUUGCCAAGGAUGUUUUCAUUAAUCAAGAACGAAAGUUAGGGGAUCGAAGACGAUCAGAUACCGUCGUAGUCUUAACCAUAAACUAUGCCGACUAGGGAUCGGAUGAUGUUAAUUUUUUUAAUGACUCAUUCGGCGCCU
This 520-nucleotide ribosomal RNA is filed under the name uncultured Glomus. RNAcentral's name for it is "SSU rRNA". It matches the Rfam family "Eukaryotic small subunit ribosomal RNA", at positions 569 to 1088 of the family's 1831-position model. Lineage: Eukaryota; Fungi; Glomeromycota; Glomeromycetes; Glomerales; Glomeraceae. The record is from RNAcentral.